RNAcentral lists this ribosomal RNA (449 nucleotides) under uncultured bacterium. Its description in RNAcentral is "partial 16S ribosomal RNA". It matches the Rfam family "Bacterial small subunit ribosomal RNA", at positions 388 to 831 of the family's 1533-position model. The record is from RNAcentral.
CCAGCCAUGCCGCGUGAGUGAUGAAGGCCUUCGGGUUGUAAAGCUCUUUCGGCCGGGACGAAAGGGCCCGGGCUAAUACCCCGGGCGCUUGACGGUUCCCUGCCAAGAAGCCCCGGCUAACUUCGGGGCCGCAGCCCCGGUAAUACCUAAGCGGCCAACGUUUAGUCGCAAUUACUGGGCGUUAAGCGGGCGGAGGCGGGUUUGUAAAACCGAUGUGAAAUCCCCGGGCUUAACCUGGGAACUGCCUUUGAAACUGGGGGGCUUGAGUGCGGGAAAGGGAGGAGGAAUUUCCCGUGUAACARUGAAAUGCGUAAAAAUGCGGAGGAARACCGGUGGCGAAGGCAGCCCCCGGGCCGGCACUGACCCUUAAGCCCAAAACCUGGGGAACCAACCGGAUUAAAUACCCUGGUAUCCCCCCCCUAAUCCAAGUCAACUAGUGGUUGGGGGUU